AGGAGUGUGAGGAGUAAGUUGAAAGUACAAGAAGCACCUGGAGUGGAAACACGGUCACACGCCCAGGUGCUUUUUGCU
RNAcentral lists this small RNA (78 nucleotides) under Calothrix sp. PCC 6303. RNAcentral describes it as "Cyano-1 RNA". It matches the Rfam family "Cyano-1 RNA". The record is from Rfam by way of RNAcentral. Lineage: Bacteria; Bacillati; Cyanobacteriota; Cyanophyceae; Nostocales; Calotrichaceae.